AAAAUUUUUAAAGUAACGUUUUUAGAAAUUUUUAGUUAUCAAAAUCAACCACUGAUAAGAGAAGUAUUAUUGUAUUUUAUGGUUAAACAGUGCUAACAGAUGUAAUGUUAUGUAGUCUAUAUGAUGCAAUACUCAUUUAUAAAAUUAAUGACAUGCAGAUUGGAUACUUAUUCAAAAAUUUUUAUUUGUCAUAAAUAAAUUCAAUCAUUAGUAUUAUUACAAAACCUGACAUCCUUUACCAUGAUGAUGAUGAUAAAUAUUAAUUACAAAUUUUUUAUGACAAGUGAAAAUUACCACCUCUGUUCGGACUCCGAGAACGAAGAUAAGAAAAGCUGAGUUAAUCGUUGUGUUUCAUUUUUUGUAAAACAGUGUUAAUAACAAAGAAAAUAAUUGUAUUUGUGUGUGACAUAGAAUCUAAUCAUCUAGAAACAGAAGAUAUAGUUGAAAAGCCCACAUCUGAUUAUAUGGCAUCAGACAGUGACAAUGGUGAUAAUUCAGAUGGCCCAGGGCCUAGUACAUCAAGGGCUAAUGCAAGUUAUCCUGUCGACCCAUCAGAUUGGAUUGAUAUGAAAGAUUUAGCACCAGAUAUUUUUAAUAACAGACCAAGGCUACUCCCUUUUAAACUAGAACCUGGACCAAUGGUUGAUACUGAUGGCUGGGAGCCUGUGG
RNAcentral lists this long non-coding RNA (669 nucleotides) under Androctonus crassicauda. Lineage: Eukaryota; Metazoa; Arthropoda; Arachnida; Scorpiones; Buthidae. The record is from RNAcentral.